CUUGUGUCAAUUCUACAAUAUAGUUCGUAUGUUCAUACGUUAUAGGAGCGGAAUUAGGCCAUUCGAUCCAUCCAGUCUACUCUGCCAUUCAAUCGUAGCUGAUCUGCCUUUUUCUCUCAACCCCUUACGCUUGGCUUCUCCCCCAUAACCCCU
Long non-coding RNA from Amblyraja radiata (thorny skate), 153 nucleotides. RefSeq lists it as uncharacterized. The transcript has 3 exons. Lineage: Eukaryota; Metazoa; Chordata; Chondrichthyes; Rajiformes; Rajidae. The record is from RefSeq and is a predicted model, not a curated record.